ACACAUGCAGUCGAGCGGGGAAGAGUAGCUCGCUACUUUACCUAGCGGCGGACGGGUGAGUAAUGCUUAGGAAUCUGCCUAUUAGUGGGGGACAACAUCUCGAAAGGGAUGCUAAUACCGCAUACGUCCUACGGGAGAAAGCAGGGGACCUUCGGGCCUUGCGCUAAUAGAUGAGCCUAAGUCGGAUUAGCUAGUUGGUGGGGUAAAGGCCUACCAAGGCGACGAUCUGUAGCGGGUCUGAGAGGAUGAUCCGCCACACUGGGACUGAGACACGGCCCAGACUCCUACGGGAGGCAGCAGUGGGGAAUAUUGGACAAUGGGGGGAACCCUGAUCCAGCCAUGCCGCGUGUGUGAAGAAGGCCUUUUGGUUGUAAAGCACUUUAAGCGAGGAGGAGGCUACCGAGAUUAAUACUCUUGGAUAGUGGACGUUACUCGCAGAAUAAGCACCGGCUAACUCUGUGCCAGCAGCCGCGGUAAUACAGAGGGUGCAAGCGUUAAUCGGAUUUACUGGGCGUAAAGCGCGCGUAGGUGGCCAAUUAAGUCAAAUGUGAAAUCCCCGAGCUUAACUUGGGAAUUGCAUUCGAUACUGGUUGGCUAGAGUAUGGGAGAGGAUGGUAGAAUUCCAGGUGUAGCGGUGAAAUGCGUAGAGAUCUGGAGGAAUACCGAUGGCGAAGGCAGCCAUCUGGCCUAAUACUGACACUGAGGUGCGAAAGCAUGGGGAGCAAACAGGAUUAGAUACCCUGGUAGUCCAUGCCGUAAACGAUGUCUACUAGCCGUUGGGGCCUUUGAGGCUUUAGUGGCGCAGCUAACGCGAUAAGUAGACCGCCUGGGGAGUACGGUCCGCAAGACUAAAACCCAAAUGAAUUGACGGGGG
RNAcentral lists this ribosomal RNA (874 nucleotides) under uncultured bacterium. RNAcentral describes it as "bacterial SSU rRNA". It matches the Rfam family "Bacterial small subunit ribosomal RNA", at positions 51 to 919 of the family's 1533-position model. The record is from RNAcentral.